UGGCUUAUCCUAGGACAUUGAAUAUAAUUCCCUGUGCUAUACAGUAGGACCUUGUUGUCCAUCCAUUCUCUAUGUAAUGUAGCUACAAUGCCAGAUGUCCAGUUCAGUAUGGGGCCCAGGGAGAGUUAGGCCACGGCACUGGCCCUCAUUUCCACAGCUAGAAGGAGGCAACCCUGGGGCUGGGACUCAGUCUACCUGGGCCCACACCACCUUGCAGCCAGGGCCGCCUGACUGCCACCCCCAGCCCAUCGCAUUUGCUUGGGUCCCCAUCAGCCAGAGUGGGAAGAGCAUCAUCUCAGCAGAUAAUCCUGCCUGCACUUCCCCAGUCAUGACUCAUCUCAGGACACACCCCUCACUCAGCACAUCCCAGCCCUGCAUUCUUUUCCCUUCUCUGAAUGUGCUAAAUCCCUCCCAUCUCAGGGCCUUUCCCCAUGCGGGUCCCCUGCUGGAAAGUUCUUCAGCCUUACAGGCUGAAUCUCUCUCCAUAGAAAACUGAAAGCUCUAUACAUGUUUCUGAGGAUCAUCUGUCUGUUUUCUCCACAUUUAGUAGUAACUGGUACAGAAUAAGUACCUAGAAAUGGCCCAGGCUUUAGGUGUUCUUUCCUGUCAGCCUGAGUAGAAACUUGUGCAGGGACUCGUGAGCUGGGAAAGCUUCCAACACUGCCAUGCAAUUUUGGAUUUCUCCAGAAAUCCAUGUUAUCUUUGUACCACCACAGAAUGAAAAGCCAAGGGGACACGUUACUAAGCAACUAUGAAAGUUCUAAAUAGUUGUUUACAAACAAAAGAGACAAGUAGAAUUUCUGUAACAUACUGAAUUUCUGAACAGCACUCAUUUAUUUCUUUCAUACAGUGUCAUUGAAAGACCUCCCUGGAAGAAGAUCCUAUUCACAAAAGCAACCAAAGCAGGUGGAGUUGCUGUGCCUGUGCUCCAUGUUUGAUACCUGAAUAGUCAACACCUCAAGGGAAAUAGGAGGAGCUCUGGUGGUAACACAGACCUGACCAGCCUAGGUCAGCAUCCCUGGAGAAUAGCAGAUUCUGUAUGCCUGUCUUUAAAGGCAGGUAAAUGUCUGGAAAGAUACACACGUGUUAGCAGUGGUUUCCUACAGGUAAAGGAGCUGUACAGUAUUCCAUUAUAUGGACGCACCAUCUGUUACUGGACACUUGGAUAUUUCCUGUCUUUUGCUUCUACAAAUAAUGCUUCAAGGACUCCUGCUGAACAUACACUUUGCAUGGAUGUAUAAUUUUAUCUGUAUAAUAAAUUUUUAGAACUUGAAUUGUUGGGGUCAUAAUUUUGAUAGAUAAUUGCCAGACUGCCCUUCCAAGAACAUAUGAGAGUUCCUUUUUUUCCCAUACUCCUGUCAACAGUAUUAUUAU
Molecule: non-coding RNA, 1374 nt
Organism: Delphinapterus leucas (beluga whale)
Lineage: Eukaryota; Metazoa; Chordata; Mammalia; Artiodactyla; Monodontidae
Source: RefSeq, a predicted model, not a curated record